GCAUUCAGAGAAUCACGUCGGCCAGGCCGAUAUGAGAGUCCCUUUUGGGGCCUUAGCUCAGCUGGGAGAGCACCUGCUUUGCAAGCAGGGGGUCGUCGGUUCGAUCCCGACAGGCUCCA
Molecule: transfer RNA, 119 nt
Filed under: Xanthomonas sp. Xs148
Lineage: Bacteria; Pseudomonadati; Pseudomonadota; Gammaproteobacteria; Lysobacterales; Lysobacteraceae
Description: partial 16S-23S ribosomal RNA intergenic spacer
Rfam family: tRNA (bases 47-119)
About the family: Transfer RNA (tRNA) molecules are approximately 80 nucleotides in length.
Source: RNAcentral